This 497-nucleotide ribosomal RNA is filed under the name uncultured bacterium. RNAcentral's name for it is "partial 16S ribosomal RNA". It matches the Rfam family "Bacterial small subunit ribosomal RNA", at positions 28 to 507 of the family's 1533-position model. The record is from RNAcentral.
GAUGGACGCUGGCGGCGUGCCUAAUACAUGCAAGUCGAGCGAACAGACGAGGAGCUUGCUCCUCUGACGUUAGCGGCGGACGGGUGAGUAACACGUGGAUAACCUACCUAUAAGACUGGGAUAACUUCGGGAAACCGGAGCUAAUACCGGAUAAUAUAUUGAACCGCAUGGUUCAAUAGUGAAAGGCGGUUUUGCUGUCACUUAUAGAUGGAUCCGCGCCGCAUUAGCUAGUUGGUAAGGUAACGGCUUACCAAGGCGACGAUGCGUAGCCGACCUGAGAGGGUGAUCGGCCACACUGGAACUGAGACACGGUCCAGACUCCUACGGGAGGCAGCAGUAGGGAAUCUUCCGCAAUGGGCGAAAGCCUGACGGAGCAACGCCGCGUGAGUGAUGAAGGUCUUCGGAUCGUAAAACUCUGUUAUUAGGGAAGAACAAAUGUGUAAGUAACUAUGCACGUCUUGACGGUACCUAAUCAGAAAGCCACGGCUAACUACGUG